RNAcentral lists this ribosomal RNA (492 nucleotides) under uncultured bacterium. RNAcentral's name for it is "partial 16S ribosomal RNA". It matches the Rfam family "Bacterial small subunit ribosomal RNA", at positions 29 to 507 of the family's 1533-position model. The record is from RNAcentral.
AGUGAACGCUGGCGGUAGGCCUAACACAUGCAAGUCGAACGGCAGCACAGUAAGAGCUUGCUCUUACGGGUGGCGAGUGGCGGACGGGUGAGGAAUACAUCGGAAUCUACUUUUUCGUGGGGGAUAACGUAGGGAAACUUACGCUAAUACCGCAUACGACCUACGGGUGAAAGCAGGGGAUCUUCGGACCUUGCGCGAUUGAAUGAGCCGAUGUCGGAUUAGCUAGUUGGCGGGGUAAAGGCCCACCAAGGCGACGAUCCGUAGCUGGUCUGAGAGGAUGAUCAGCCACACUGGAACUGAGACACGGUCCAGACUCCUACGGGAGGCAGCAGUGGGGAAUAUUGGACAAUGGGCGCAAGCCUGAUCCAGCCAUACCGCGUGGGUAAAGAAGGCCUUCGGGUUGUAAAGCCCUCUUGUUGGGAAAGAAAAGCAGCAGGUUAAUACCCCGCUGUUCUGACGGUACCCAAAGAAUAAGCACCGGCUAACUUCGUG